RNAcentral lists this ribosomal RNA (253 nucleotides) under uncultured bacterium. RNAcentral describes it as "partial 16S ribosomal RNA". It matches the Rfam family "Bacterial small subunit ribosomal RNA", at positions 524 to 776 of the family's 1533-position model. The record is from RNAcentral.
GACGAACCGUGCAAACGUUAUUCGGAAUCACUGGGCUUAAAGGGUGCGUAGGCGGGCGUUCAAGUCAGUGGUGAAAUCCCCCGGCCCAACCGGGGAACUGCCGCCGAUACUGAUCGUCUCGAGGGAGGUAGGGGUGUGUGGAACUUCCGGUGGAGCGGUGAAAUGCGUAGAGAUCGGAAGGAACGCCGGCGGCGAAAGCGACACACUGGAUCUCUUCUGACGCUGAGGCACGAAAGCCAGGGGAGCAAACGGG